RNAcentral lists this ribosomal RNA (253 nucleotides) under uncultured prokaryote. RNAcentral's name for it is "partial 16S ribosomal RNA". It matches the Rfam family "Bacterial small subunit ribosomal RNA", at positions 524 to 776 of the family's 1533-position model. The record is from RNAcentral.
UACGGAGGGUGCAAGCGUUAAUCGGAAUUACUGGGCGUAAAGGGUUCGUAGGUGGUAUUUUAAGUUAACUGUGAAAUCCCUGGGCUUAACCUGGGGCGGUCAGUUAAGACUGGAGUACUUGAGUAUGGGAGAGGGUAGUGGAAUUUCCGGUGUAGCGGUGAAAUGCGUAGAGAUCGGAAGGAACACCAGUGGCGAAGGCGGCUACCUGGCCUAAUACUGACACUGAGGAACGAAAGCGUGGGGAGCAAACAGG